GUAUCUGCACAUAGGGGUCUCAGAAGGACAUGUUCAUCCCUCAUACACCAAAGCAGCUGAAGGGUUCCUGUUACACAGUUGAUUACGGAAACGAAGAAACAUGUGCUAAAAUAGCAUAGGAUGCAGCAGUUUGCAGCUUUCUUUCAAGAGCAUUGGGUAUAUUCAAAAUGUUGCCUGUAGAAAAUGAAGCUGCACAGGAGGCAGAAAUGGAGUCCCUGAAGCCUUCCUCCCCAUCACA
This is a long non-coding RNA of Gekko japonicus, 238 nucleotides long. RefSeq lists it as uncharacterized. The transcript has 3 exons. NCBI's taxonomy places the organism in Eukaryota, Metazoa, Chordata, Lepidosauria, Squamata, Gekkonidae. The record is from RefSeq and is a predicted model, not a curated record.